UUUUAUCUUUUCAAUAUUCUUAUUUUUGUCUUUUUUUUGUGGAAUUGGAUUGGGGGUUUGAGGGGGUUCAGACCAUUGGUUUGUUGCAAUCCACCAUGGAUGGACCACGAACAUCACACCCUUAAAAUCUUCAGGGUAGGGCAAUCCCAACCAUUCAAUUCAUGGCCUACAGAGGCAACAAGAGAAGAAGAGAUGCUACUACAUUCUGCAUUCAACUGAUUAACGUUCUAGGAUAUGGACCCUGGUCUGGAUGGAAGAACUAUGGGCCUACUCACCAGAACCGAAAACCUAACCAUACGUCCAGGGCAUGGAGUUAAGGAUCCUGCUAUGGCAAAGAUGAUUAUGUAAUUUGGAUGAUUGCAUAUCCACGACUAAUGGAGUCAUACAAGGACUACGCCUAGUGGGGCCGACUCUCUUGACUAGCCCUAUUGAAAAUUGCAAUUUUAGUUGGCCUAGGCCGAGCCCUUUAAAAUCUCAUUCAUGUUCAUGUGGUAAUUAGUCAAUACAGGUAUUCCAAUACAUUGACAUGGGUUACUAUACCAUGUCGUUUGUCCAGCUUGAAGAUCAAGUGGUAGACAUGUUUACGAAGGCUCUAAUUCAUGUUCAUUAAGAUUGCUUCUUUGUCAAGUUGGACAUUCAUGAUGCGUAUGCUCCAGCUUGGGUCACAGUAGAUGCCAAAGAAUUCCAAAGCGCCCAAGUGUUGAUUGGCAUGAUUUACAAGAAGAAAAGGUACUUACAUCACUGAUUCUAGUGCUACAACAGUGAUGGAUUAAACUAAUCAGCCAACAAAAUACUCAUUAACAGUACAUGUUGGAUUUUAUAUCAGUUUUCCUCCAAGUUUUUAAUAAACUCAAUUAUUUGUGGUGUAUUGUCUUACAUUGCCUACAAAAUGCAGGUUAAACUGUCUAUAGGAACAAUCAGUGGAAGGGACUGUUUGGUAGGUUGGAUUGGGAAGGAAACUUCCCAACUUCCAUCACAGACCCUUAGCCCAUGGGUAAGGUUGACAUGUGCAUUCACCCUGACCAGGACAAGAUACUUACAGUUCGAGAAUGUGCGCGGUCUCAGGUUGAUAAUUUUGGCAUAGUGAACCUCAUGGAUGCAUGCCAAAAAAUCAAGGUGAACAGGUUCAUUCUUAUCAAUUAAAUUCUUGUGAAUGGAGCUGCAAUGAGCCAAAUCCUUAAUCCGGCUUACAUCAUUCUAAAUGUGUUUGGGCUCAUAUUGAUAGCAAAGCUACAGGCAGAUUGAGGACCUAUUUGGUGCUAUUAGGCAAGAGUAGAUUUGAAGAUGAUUCAAUAGGUCCAAUCUGGCAUGCAAGAUUUUACUUGUUCAGAAAUGAGAAGAUCAGUCUAUGUGCAGUAAGCUUUCGGAUUAAAGCGAAGUUGAGAAUAGUGUGUUAGUUGAUGGCAAAUUGAUAACCAGUAGAGGCAUAUCCAUGGAGUUCUAGCUUACGAUUAUUGAGAAGCUAGUUAGCUAUGAGAAGGCAUUGGAUCUUGCUAUUGAUGAGAACUUUAAAUCGAC
This is a long non-coding RNA of Magnolia sinica, 1518 nucleotides long. RefSeq lists it as uncharacterized. Lineage: Eukaryota; Viridiplantae; Streptophyta; Magnoliopsida; Magnoliales; Magnoliaceae. The transcript has 4 exons. The record is from RefSeq and is a predicted model, not a curated record.